GUGCUCAGCUGCCGUCCCCUCCUCCUCCGCCAUCAUCAUCUAUCGUCCACCCCAAUCGCCUCAUCGCCCCCUCCUGCCGCCACUACCAUCUC
RNAcentral lists this non-coding RNA (92 nucleotides) under uncultured Thalassiosira. Lineage: Eukaryota; Bacillariophyta; Thalassiosirophyceae; Thalassiosirales; Thalassiosiraceae. The record is from RNAcentral.